GUCUGGGUGGUGUAGUUGGUUAUCACGCUAGUCUCACACACUAGAGGUCCGUAGUUCGAACCUGGGCUCAGACA
Non-coding RNA from Cucurbita pepo subsp. pepo (vegetable marrow), 74 nucleotides. NCBI's taxonomy places the organism in Eukaryota, Viridiplantae, Streptophyta, Magnoliopsida, Cucurbitales, Cucurbitaceae. The record is from the annotation of a RefSeq genome assembly.